CAGCCGCCGCGGGAAAACGUAGGUGGCAAGCGUUGUCCGGAAUUAUUGGGCGUAAAGGGCUCGCAGGCGGUUUCUUAAGUCUGAUGUGAAAGCCCCCGGCUCAACCGGGGAGGGUCAUUGGAAACUGGGAAACUUGAGUGCAGAAGAGGAGAGUGGAAUUCCACGUGUAGCGGUGAAAUGCGUAGAGAUGUGGAGGAACACCAGUGGCGAAGGCGACUCUCUGGUCUGUAACUGACGCUGAGGAGCGAAAGCGUGGGGAGCGAACAGGAUUAGAUACCCCUGUAGUCCCUGUCUCUUAUAC
RNAcentral lists this ribosomal RNA (301 nucleotides) under uncultured bacterium. Its description in RNAcentral is "partial 16S ribosomal RNA". It matches the Rfam family "Bacterial small subunit ribosomal RNA", at positions 509 to 807 of the family's 1533-position model. The record is from RNAcentral.